RNAcentral lists this long non-coding RNA (361 nucleotides) under Capsicum annuum. RNAcentral describes it as "long non-coding RNA (CANN_LNC012719)". The record is from RNAcentral. Lineage: Eukaryota; Viridiplantae; Streptophyta; Magnoliopsida; Solanales; Solanaceae.
GGGCGACUUAGAGGAACUAGGGCACUAGUAGCCUGAGUUUGGGGAUGAGCAUCCCUACUUCCUGGCUUAGCAUGCGAGCAUUCCUUGAUACCAUGGCCUAACUGACCAUAUCCAAAACAACUUUUCUAACCCAAUAAGCACUCACCAGGAUGAUUCUUACCAUAUCUAGAACAUGAAGGAUAACUAGGCCUUCCACCCAUACUAUUCUGAGAUCUGGACAUUGAACCCCUACCCUACUGUUCCUGCUUGGUUUUGGGAACGGGGGCACUAGCUGAAGAUGGUGCUGACAAAGGCGGACGAUUUUGAAACUACAAAUGAUUUUCUCCUACAAAUCUUGAUUGAUCAUACAUAAACUACCCAG